RNAcentral lists this ribosomal RNA (499 nucleotides) under Bacillus mycoides. RNAcentral describes it as "bacterial SSU rRNA". It matches the Rfam family "Bacterial small subunit ribosomal RNA", at positions 27 to 506 of the family's 1533-position model. Lineage: Bacteria; Bacillati; Bacillota; Bacilli; Caryophanales; Bacillaceae. The record is from RNAcentral.
GGAUGAACGCUGGCGGCGUGCCUAAUACAUGCAAGUCGAGCGAAUGGAUUAAGAGCUUGCUCUUAUGAAGUUAGCGGCGGACGGGUGAGUAACACGUGGGUAACCUACCCAUAAGACUGGGAUAACUCCGGGAAACCGGGGCUAAUACCGGAUAAUAUUUUGAACUGCAUAGUUCGAAAUUGAAAGGCGGCUUCGGCUGUCACUUAUGGAUGGACCCGCGUCGCAUUAGCUAGUUGGUGAGGUAACGGCUCACCAAGGCGACGAUGCGUAGCCGACCUGAGAGGGUGAUCGGCCACACUGGGACUGAGACACGGCCCAGACUCCUACGGGAGGCAGCAGUAGGGAAUCUUCCGCAAUGGACGAAAGUCUGACGGAGCAACGCCGCGUGAGUGAUGAAGGCUUUCGGGUCGUAAAACUCUGUUGUUAGGGAAGAACAAGUGCUAGUUGAAUAAGCUGGCACCUUGACGGUACCUAACCAGAAAGCCACGGCUAACUACGU